UGCAAGUCGAGCGGUAGAGAGAAGCUUGCUUCUCUUGAGAGCGGCGGACGGGUGAGUAAUGCCUAGGAAUCUGCCUAGUGGUGGGGGAUAACGUUCGGAAACGGACGCUAAUACCGCAUACGUCCUACGGGAGAAAGCGGGGGACCUUCGGGCCUCGCGCCAUUAGAUGAGCCUAGGUCGGAUUAGCUAGUUGGUGAGGUAAUGGCUCACCAAGGCGACGAUCCGUAACUGGUCUGAGAGGAUGAUCAGUCACACUGGAACUGAGACACGGUCCAGACUCCUACGGGAGGCAGCAGUGGGGAAUAUUGGACAAUGGGCGAAAGCCUGAUCCAGCCAUGCCGCGUGUGUGAAGAAGGUCUUCGGAUUGUAAAGCACUUUAAGUUGGGAGGAAGGGUAGUAACUUAAUACGUUGCUACCUUGACGUUACCGACAGAAUAAGCACCGGCUAACUUCGUGCCAGCAGCCGCGGUAAUACGAAGGGUGCAAGCGUUAAUCGGAAUUACUGGGCGUAAAGCGCGCGUAGGUGGUUCAGUAAGUUGGAAGUGAAAUCCCCGGGCUCAACCUGGGAACUGCUUUCAAAACUGCUGAGCUAGAGUACGGUAGAGGGUGGUGGAAUUUCCUGUGUAGCGGUGAAAUGCGUAGAUAUAGGAAGGAACACCAGUGGCGAAGGCGACCACCUGGACUGAUACUGACACUGAGGUGCGAAAGCGUGGGGAGCAACAGGAUUAGAUACCCUGGUAGUCCACGCCGUAAACGAUGUCAACUAGCCGUUGGGAGUCUUGAACUCUUAGUGGCGCACUUAACGCAUUAAGUUGACCGCCUGGGGAGUACGGCCGCAAGGUUAAAACUCA
Molecule: ribosomal RNA, 851 nt
Filed under: Pseudomonas sp. Y2(2015)
Lineage: Bacteria; Pseudomonadati; Pseudomonadota; Gammaproteobacteria; Pseudomonadales; Pseudomonadaceae
Description: bacterial SSU rRNA
Rfam family: Bacterial small subunit ribosomal RNA
Source: RNAcentral